GGGAGGGACAGUAGGACUCCCUCACUGCCCUCCCCAGGUCUCUUCUUGACACGCAGUUUUGUCUGGCCCUGGCAGUGGCUUUUGGCAGCUGGAGGAGAGCAAAAGUCAAUGUGGAGAGCAAGUGACAUUUAGAAGCUGGAACCUGUUAGUCAGAGCAGGUGGCGCGCUCUGCUGCGUUGGUGGCUAAGUUCCCUCGAGCUAGUCGCCAUGGUUUUCCUCACUUCUGAAACUUGGGG
This 236-nucleotide long non-coding RNA is filed under the name Mus musculus (house mouse). Its description in RNAcentral is "ilncRNA-EC53". The record is from RNAcentral. Lineage: Eukaryota; Metazoa; Chordata; Mammalia; Rodentia; Muridae.